This 2499-nucleotide long non-coding RNA is filed under the name Gouania willdenowi (blunt-snouted clingfish). Its description in RNAcentral is "lncRNA (ENSGWIG00000006118.1)". Lineage: Eukaryota; Metazoa; Chordata; Actinopteri; Blenniiformes; Gobiesocidae. The record is from RNAcentral.
GGGAUGUGUUGCCUGUUGGUGGAGUCCUAUUGGCUGAGCCCUUCAUCGAACCUUUGAGUGGGCACUUGGUGAAGGUUGCAGGAGCCACCAUACGGGGAGGACUAGUGGUUCCUUCUGCAGGAGGAUACCAGAAUAUACUAGACAACAAGGUUCUGGCAAUGAUGCACAAAAUAUUUGGUCAUCUGAAGCCACUUGCUGAGGUGUGGGGUUCCGAUCCAAACUUGCAGCUUCUGCAGACUAAUUCUGACAGUGAAAGUUCAUGCAGGCGUCAGGACUUGGUAAUGUCUGCUGCUAAGGAGCUUCACCAGGCGUGGGUACGGAGUCUUCACUGGCAGCUGCAGCUGCAGAGCAGGUUGGAGAUUCUUCUGGACUGGUCCGUUUGUCUUCAGGAGAAUGGAGGAGUUCUUGGUUACUUGCUUGUGUCUACAGCUCAAUGUCCUGCUUGUUUGAGCACCUGAAUCAACGUUAACUAAAGAAAGUCUGGCCUGAGCUGUAGCUGAUAGGCCAAUAUUAGCCCUGAAUAAAAAAAAAAUGGUUAAGGUAUGAAUACAGUAUGUACAUGUUUUUUCCUGCACAGCAUAAAGUUCUCCUGUGCUUUACAAACAAGGAGAAAUGCCACUGCCGGGGUCUGACGGAAGCGUGCCAGCUCUACUGGGCAUGGAGUACCCUGACCCGAUGGGUUCUGGUCUAGGUGUACAAGUGCUGGGUUGUCAAGCUGACUGGUCUGGCAAAACAGUACCACUAGCAGGCACCAUGGAGGACCCUGAUGGAAAAGGCUUAGUGGCGAUUCGUUAUGGUUCCCAAACCAUUGACCCAGUGACAGGCCUUUUGAGUACUGUGGUUGGAGCAAGACUGGAUCCCAUCAAAAAACACACAGUUCCCAUUACAGCUUCCUACUGGCUAAUGGAGACAGGUCAGAGCAGCAGUUUACAGGUAGAGGCACUGCAGAGAGAAGUUUGUUUACGCAACACUUAUUGGCAACAGCAAAAGCAACGGGAGGAGGAUAUUCUGAGUGAUGUGGACUCGUCUCUACACCAAUGUCUCCUUCGGUUAGCAGAAACGAACUUAGCCCAGCAGCUCCAGUGGUCCGGGAGGCAACAGCUGGAUGCAGCUGUGGAGCUGCACGAUUCAGCACAGAUUGAAGCUCAGAGGAAAGCUGCUCAGCGGCCCGUCCUGGAUCUGGUCCUCCCUUUGCAUGUGUCUCACAUCCUUACUCUGGGAGAUGAAGAUGAAUGGGACCAGCAGUGUAUAUGGCACUCAGUCCUCCUGUCUGGCCUGGAGAAGCUGGAAAUCUGUAUGUAUGAGCUGCAGCAAGACCAGGAAAAAGAGAGAUUACAAACUAAAGACUGGCCUACAAACCUCAACGCUAUGGAGAGAGAACAGAGACAGAGAGAGCUGUGUGAACAGAUCUGCUGUAGACAGACAGAGCUGCAUGCUGCUCUCAGUGCACUGCACUCCAUCAGAGUCCUGUCUCAGCUUCGGACUAUCGUGGCUAAGGAAGUCUUGUGCAGGAAUCUUUGGUUUAGGGAAUAUGGUUUGAUCCAACACACCACAUGCAGACUGAAUAUGAGAGCCACGGGUUUGCUUCACUUUUCUGCAUUGCCUCUAAUAGAAAAACUGAUCCAGCUCCUGGAAGAAAAGCAGUCAGCUAGCUUUUCCUCAAGUGUCUGCAAUCAACAAGUCACUGAGAGCCUGCAGCAAAUAAAAGAAACAGUUCAGCCUACACAGAUCUCUGUACCCACAAUAACAGAGGAGCAGUGGAGGAGCCUGUUGGAGCGCUCUCCACUUUUUCAGCAGCUGAAGGGGGUGGAGCUACAGCUGAAGGGCUGGGCUUGUAGGGCAGGACUUCAGGGAAAGGUCAAUGAUGGAGUUAAAUAUUUCAUAGAUGUCCUCGAUGCUCAGUGGGAAUGUGAAGGAGAGCUCAUUCCUUUGGAUCCAUCCACCCUGAAGCCCAGAGAGUUCCUGGUCUACAAACAUGGAUUAUUUCUGAUUCACUCCCUGCAUAAUCUGCAAUUGACUCCUGCAAUUUCACUUCAGAUAGCAGCCAGUCUGCCAAACAACAACUACUGUAACAACUCCUUCAGAAACUCCUUCUUUUAUCAGGAGGCAGAAGACACUCUCUUCGUCCGUCGCCAGAGGCUACAAUCAGUUGGUGGUUUCUCUCUCAUGCUACUCCAUUGUCUGUCCCAUAUUAAAAUCAAAGAGUUGAGUUCUGACUCCACUCCUGCUUUUCAGAGGCUUUUUUUCAAGUUGCUGCAGGAAUGUCUGGGGGAAGUUUUUCAAGCCAGAUUGUGCAAGCCCCUCUCUGAACAGGAAGCCAAUUUGUGUGUUUGGGGCCAAGAACAAGAGGCCCCUGCAGAGGGCUUAAGGGAAAUAUAUUUUGAAAGAGACUUUCAGGCUUCCUCUCUUCUCAACAGAAUUAACAAACCAGGCAGAGCAUGGUUGUCUGAUGAUGUAAGUACAAACGCUGACAAUGCCCUCACUGUGUUGGUUCUACCA